RNAcentral lists this long non-coding RNA (387 nucleotides) under Oryctolagus cuniculus (rabbit). RNAcentral's name for it is "lncRNA (ENSOCUG00000037121.1)". Lineage: Eukaryota; Metazoa; Chordata; Mammalia; Lagomorpha; Leporidae. The record is from RNAcentral.
AUGAACCUGCAUGCCCGGCUUCCUGCUCACCGAGGUCCUCUCUCUGCCAUCCUCUUGCCGUGCCAGAUGGUUGGACGAGUGGAGUCUCCUGAUCUUUGCCUGGGAACCUCUCAACUGAUUGGACACAGUGAAAUGCCCCUUUCAGAAAGGUGUCAAAAACCCCCUACGACGGCUAAGGCUUACGGAGCACAUCACAUAGGAGCAAUUCAGGAGACAAAAAGGAGCACUCUGAAUCCAGGUAAAUUCUUGGAAGAACUGGACCAAAGUUCAUGAAGAAGUCAUGUGACAGCUGGAACUGCCUGCUGUACCACAGCGUGUGCAAAUACUUGUGCCCUGGAGCCUUGGCCAACCUGUGUGCUGCUGUCAAUAAAACUGAUUGGAAAAACA